UUUAGAGUUUGAUUCCCUGCUCAGGACGAACGCUGGCGGCGUGCCUAAUACAUGCAAGUCGAGCGAACUAAUAGGAGCUUGCUCCCAGAAGUUAGCGGCGGACGGGUGAGUAACACGUGGGCAACCUGCCCUGUAGAUCGGGAUAACAUCGAGAAAUCGGUGCUAAUACCGGAUAAUUUCUAGAAUCUCAUGGUUCUAGAAUAAAAGAUGGCUCCGGCUAUCACUACGGGAUGGGCCCGCGGCGCAUUAGCUAGUUGGUAAGGUAACGGCUUACCAAGGCGACGAUGCGUAGCCGACCUGAGAGGGUGAUCGGCCACACUGGGACUGAGACACGGCCCAGACUCCUACGGGAGGCAGCAGUAGGGAAUCUUCCGCAAUGGACGAAAGUCUGACGGAGCAACGCCGCGUGAGUGAUGAAGGAUUUCGGUUCGUAAAGCUCUGUUGUUAGGGAAGAACAAGUGCCGUUCAAAUAGGGCGGCACCUUGACGGUACCUAACCAGAAAGCCACG
RNAcentral lists this ribosomal RNA (509 nucleotides) under Bacillus sp. AKB-K1W-10. RNAcentral describes it as "bacterial SSU rRNA". It matches the Rfam family "Bacterial small subunit ribosomal RNA", at positions 1 to 495 of the family's 1533-position model. Lineage: Bacteria; Bacillati; Bacillota; Bacilli; Caryophanales; Bacillaceae. The record is from RNAcentral.